Molecule: non-coding RNA, 148 nt
Filed under: Nomascus leucogenys (northern white-cheeked gibbon)
Lineage: Eukaryota; Metazoa; Chordata; Mammalia; Primates; Hylobatidae
Source: Rfam by way of RNAcentral
GCCGGGCCUGGUGGCGCAUGCCUGUAAUCCCAGCUACUUUGGAGGCUGAGGCCAGAGAAUCACUUGAAUCCAGGAGGUGGAGGUUGCAGUGAGCAGAGAUCGUGUCACUGCACUCCAGCCUGGGUGACAGAGUGAGACUCUGUCUCAA